RNAcentral lists this long non-coding RNA (883 nucleotides) under Salmo salar (Atlantic salmon). RNAcentral's name for it is "lncRNA (ENSSSAG00000115456.1)". Lineage: Eukaryota; Metazoa; Chordata; Actinopteri; Salmoniformes; Salmonidae. The record is from RNAcentral.
GCAAAACAAUGACUGAGGCAGCUACAAUGAUUCCACCAAACCUCAGAAGAUCAAUCGUGGCCUCAAUCAUGAGAACUUUCCACAAUGAGAACUGAGGGUGAUGGAUCUGGAUGCUGAUGAAAACCUUCACAAAUUCCUCUUUUUGGAUGAGGCAGGCUUCAACCUGGCCAAGACAAGGAGGAAUUUCAUUGGCCAGAGGGCAACCAUCCAAGUACCUGGACAACGUGGGGCCAACAUCACCAUGUGUGCGGCUAUAUCGGAAGAUGGUGUGGUGGGACACAGACCUCGCAUUGGCUCAUAUAAUGCAGCUCUCCUUGUGUAACCUUCUUGAUGAGCUAAAUCAGGUCUGUAGAGAUGAUGGCGUGACCUAUGUCAUUGCGUGGGACAAUGUCAGGUUCCACCAUGCUCAAAUGGUGCAAGCAUGGUUUCAGGCCCAUCCACAAUUUACCACCCUGUACUUACCCCCAUACUCUCCUUUCCUUAACCCGAUUGAGGAAUUUUUCUCCACAUGGAGGCGGAAGGUAUAUGAUAGGCGCCCUCACGAACAAGCCACCCUUCUCCAGGCCAUGGAUGACACAUGCAAUGACAUCACGGCAGACCAGUGUCAGGCCUGGAUUCACCAUGCCCGAAGAUUCUUCCCAAGAUGCUUGGCCAAUGAAAACAUCCAUUGUGAUGUGGAUACGAACCUGUGGCCAAAUCCACAAUUGAUGGAAAUAUAGAAGUACAGUAAUCAAUACUUUGUUUUGCUUUUUACAGUAAGCCAGUUGACAUUUUACUGUAGUGUUUUUCUUUUUUGUAGCUAAUUAUUUUUGCUUUGAUUCAAGGAAACCUAUGUUGUGAUUUUAUUGUAUUUCAUCAAUAAAUUUCAGAUUUUGUUCAAUGA